UGGGUUCAAUCCCCAGUACCAAAAGAAAGAAAGAAAAGGACAUAAGCUCUACAAAAGCAAGGCCCGUGCCCCAGGAUGACUGAGAGCACGACAGACCUUUCCAGGCCUCUGAGUGGACACUCAGCCUUCACACAGAGGCGCCGGCCCUUAAGCCAUUCAGAAUCCCCAGCAGCUGCACCAGGAAACAGCUGGAGAAGACUCUGCCCAGCAUCAACUAGGCGGCCUCGUGGGAGAGGAGAAGCUGCCUCGAUAGGCUUUGGUUGCACACCCAGGAGUCACGACUGCGGGGACAGAUCUAGCAAUGCCACAGAGUUAAAUUUUCCUUUGGUUGGAUCUGGUAGGUUUUCCUGGGAUGAUUCUUUAUGGCGCCCUGUUCUUGACCUUGGUGUCCGUCACCUGGGCUCCCAGAACCUGCUCCUGCUUCAGCCUACAGCAGGACCUCGAUCUGCAUUUACACCCCUGAUUCAGGCCUCUUUAUUCUGCUUUGAGUGAGCACCGAUUCCGUCUCCUCCUGGCCACUGGGGUCCCUCACCUGUUUCUCCUGGUCACUUGUUGUGUCCCUGUAACCCCAAGGAGACCUGCACCCCCUAAGCCAUUCUUUCUACCAUUUAGUAGACAGAACAAGCACUUGGUUACUCUUCCAUUCUCUCCCAUUCAAGACCAGUGUGUUAAAACAGUGAAGCUACACAUCGAGCCAGCCCACCAUGUAGGCCCAAAUCGCCUCCAUGUCUCCGUGACCUCUCCUCCCGCCCACCUCCAGACUCUCCGGCCAUUGCCCUCAUUGCUGGUCCACCAUGGCGUGCAUAUUGCUGUGCUGCUGAGAAAUGCUCCGUGCCAUCCGGCCACUGCGGGACAGGCUGGGAGGUCGAGGGAGUCCAGGCUGCCCUGUACAAAUGGCCCUUAGUCGUCCGUCUUGAUUCCAGAGUGAACACUGGGACCACCCCCCACCCCCUUUAGGGCAAGUGCAAAUGUAGUUUUAGGUUCUUACUGAAAAGGAGAAGGAUAUGAGUGCAAUUUCUACAUAAGUUGCUGAGAAACUAAAGCAAUAAAAUUCUAAGCAUUGAA
Marmota flaviventris (yellow-bellied marmot) is the source of this 1065-nucleotide long non-coding RNA. RefSeq lists it as uncharacterized. Lineage: Eukaryota; Metazoa; Chordata; Mammalia; Rodentia; Sciuridae. The record is from RefSeq and is a predicted model, not a curated record.